Molecule: microRNA precursor, 138 nt
Filed under: Glycine max (soybean)
Lineage: Eukaryota; Viridiplantae; Streptophyta; Magnoliopsida; Fabales; Fabaceae
Description: miR1518 stem-loop (gma-MIR1518)
Source: miRBase by way of RNAcentral
AUGUGCAAAAUGUGUUGUAAAGUGAAUAUCAUCGGCACAUAGGUCAUGAGAUCAACAUUGACAGAUUUACAGGCAGCCUUGACGUGAGAACACGAUAAAUGUUUAGCCUGAUAUUCACCACAAUCACACUUUUGGAAU